Molecule: long non-coding RNA, 3543 nt
Organism: Xiphophorus hellerii (green swordtail)
Lineage: Eukaryota; Metazoa; Chordata; Actinopteri; Cyprinodontiformes; Poeciliidae
Exons: 3
Source: RefSeq, a predicted model, not a curated record
AAUCCGUGGAAACCUGCUCCACUGGCCGUCAGCAGAAACUUCCUCCACGACCACAGCGAACACCAAUGAGGAGGGAUAGGGCGAAGAUCUCUGAGAGCAGAGAGAUGAGAAGCUGUCAGAGUUCUCACAGAGUCUCCAGCACCAGCAGACCUUCUUGUUCUCUGAUCAUUAUUCUCCAUUUUGUUGUUCUGUGGAACCUGAAGUGGGACUGAGUCAUGAGUGUCAGAGAACAUCCUGAGUGUGAGGACACCACAGCACCAUCUGUGAAGGCUUUGGGACAUGCGUUAGCUGGCCAAGCUGUUGAUUUGUACUCUGAUCGCCAGACGGAAUUCAAACCGCACAGACGUCACUGAAUUCCCCUCAAGAAAUCUUCCUCAGUUUGAAGGUCUACCUCAAGUGUUGGCGACUCGUCUCCAGGUUGAAAGAGGGAACAUCCCAUGUGCACAUGGCUCGCUCUGAUGAAAAUACAGAGAGGUUUAAAUCUUUUACAAGUGCUCAUAGGUAUGUGUUGGGGCUGUGCUGCACAUCAGUAGCUAAACAGAUGAGAGAACUGAUGCUGCACGCACACACAGGAUUUAGCUGAAAUAAGAAAUGAAUCGACAAUUCGGAGCUGAUGGGAGGAGCAUGUGGACUUCAGUUCAUGACGCCUCAAGCUGCACUGAAGUAAAAAGUAACAUGAACUGCUAUGAUAUGCUUACAGUUUGAUUAACCCCCCACAGUUUCACCAUAUUUACAAAGCAAUAAUUAAAUAAAACUACUUAAGAUAUUGAUCAGUGUGUUAUAUAAUGUCAACACCAGAUUAAUUUAAUAGUAGCUUUCAGAAACAUAUUGUGUUAAUCAUUUUUGUGGAUUUGCAAUUUAUAUAGUAUUACCAGCUGGUUUAGUGCUUGUCUUGCUUGCUGUCAGCUUCAUAACAGACCUGCUUUUUGCAGAUUGUCAACUACAGUUUUAAAUUAGUGUUACUGUAAUAAUUUAAAUUUAGUGAGUCAAGUUUAUUCAUAUACUUUUUAUAAAUGAAGUACACAUAAAUUAAAGGUUUAAGUUUUUCUAUACAAAAACUCCAUCAAGUGGUUUGGAAAGGAAAUAAUAGUGAAUAAAUAGAAUUAAUCUUUUAGGUCUUCAGCUCUGCCAUCUCCAGCUCCAGCGCUUGUCCUUUUCUCAAUAUCUUUUAAUAAUAUUCUUUCCAUUUCCACCAUCCUGUAAAUAUUUUUUUAUUCUUCAAGCUACAGCAUCUUGAACUUUUCCACAUUUUGGUCAAGUUACAAUCACAAGUCUCAAUGUAUUUCAUUGAGAGUUUUAAGUGAUAAACCAACUUAGUGCAUGGUUGCUAAAAAGCACAAUUUACAAAUAAAAAUCUGAGAAGUGUGGUGUACAUGCGCAUUUAACCUCCUUUUACUCUCAGACUCCUAAAUGAAGAGUGUAAGAUUUUUGAAAACAGGCGCCUUCUUUCAGCCAGCUGAGGAGCAAUGCACAGAAAGAAAACUCUGGUUGCUCCAUCAUUUCUCUGGCAUUUGAUUAAAACCUCAUUAAAAUUGUCACAAAAUAAUAAACCAUAAAAUACAAAAAGUCUUCCUCCCUAAAUUAAUCAUAUUGGUAAACUAAAGAGUUGAUAAACUAUUAAAGACACACAGGCUUCUUCCCCAACUGAUGUUCCAGUUUUAAUACAAGAAUAUCUAUGGUCAAAGUAAAGAAGCAUGUCUUUAAGUGCCUGCGAGUUUCACAGCACAAAGUCUUUAAACAAAGCUUGUUUUGUUUGGACCCAGCCUCAGAGGUCAUUGUGUUAAAAGUUGUAGGAGGACAGAGCUGCAGUUCACUGGAGCAAUGUUCAUCAGAAAAGAAAGAACCAGUGUCCUCCAGGCGUCCCUCUCUUCCAGCAAACCUCCUGGGGUUAGACGUUUACAAAGCACAACAAACAGUCCACUGGAAGCAACUUUUCCAGCCCAGUGGGCCCGGACACGGAGAGCUGGAGGGUUGGGGACGAAGGAAGGCACAGAUGAUUACACCUUGAAUAUGCGAGAAUAAAAGGUCAGGGACAGUGAGAACGUCAGAGAAAAGUGCGCAAACUGGAGUAGCCAAAAAAGAUCUCUGUGGAAUAAAGAGCAACUAAAACUUGAAAAAAGUGUAAAGAGUUCAUUAAGGAGAAGAAAAUGCUUGAGAUGCACCAGUCAGUUAGUCAGAGUGCAGAAUUACCACGUUCUUCUAAUUAGCUCUGUAUAAAUAUAAUACAUCACCUUAGUGACAAUAAAUACAUUAAUUAAUUAAUUCAUGAACCGGUAACAUAUCAAAAAUCAGUUUUGUUUUCUCUUAAAAAUGUCCAAUUUCCUACAAUUAACCUAAAUAACUGCCUCAAUAUGUACUGUGAUGUGAUGCACUUUUUGAGUUUAAUAAAAUUCAAAUAAGAGUUAAAGACAAAUGUUUUGAUGGCUCUGUGAGGAUAAACUUGUAAUUUUUUUCAUAUUCUGUUAAAGGUAUCUGCCUCUAUCAGUGCAACUCAAUAUUUUCUUUUAUACUUCACAGAAAACCAGAUAUCAGAAAAAAAACUAACCUAAGCUUCUCUGGAGAAUAUGUAAUGUUUGCAGAUAGCAAUGAGUAACUUAAUGGAAUGAAAACACGUGAAUUACCAACGUAUUUUAAUAUUGUAGGACUAAAAACCUAAAUGUUGACCAACCAGCUUUUCCUCCAAACUUACAAAUUUAUUGUCAUUAAAAACAUCCUUGAAAGCCACAAACUGCAGAUUGUCCAUAGGCAGACAUUUUUUUUAAAGAUACAUAAGAAAUCGUUAGUGAUUGGUUGGCUGCUGCAAUGCAUUAUUUUCAAAAUUUUGAUUGUUCUAGGCAAUGCAUCGUCAUCAUCAUCAGCAAUUCUCGUAAAAUGAAUUUUGCAGAAUGAACAUUUAACUCUCUGGGGGUCAUUCCUUUUUGUGCUCCACCUGUGCUUUUUAAAAAAAAAAUUCUAUAUAAGAUGCUAUUUUUUAAACUGGAAACCACUAUUCAGCAUGAUUGAAAAUAUUCUCACAAUUUCUGGCUUCUAGGGGGAUGUAGGCUGUCAUAUCAUACGCAUUGGUAGUGUUUUCAAUAAAUGUAUAAUGAACAGGAGUCAGAUAUUCACAGGGACAUUACUGACCUAAAAACUGAAAAAUUGAUGUUGGUAGGGCUUUAGGCAAGCUGAAAACAACAAAACAAGGGUAACAAAGUCUUUAGUUCACAAUUAAUACAAAAUGACUUUCAACGUAUAAGCAAAUAACCUCACAUCAGACUUACUCUAUAAGCUCCUAUUUGUGAGGCCAAGUUUUAGAGGUGAAAAAUCCUGACAGAUGAGCUGACUUUGAGCUGUCAUGAACCAUUUCCAUGAGAACACAAUGACGACGGCGUGUUGUCGAGGUAAUGGCCUUGUCUGAAAAUGCUGCCGUCCUAAUAUUUUUUAAAAGUCUAAAACAUCGGAGGACCUUCGGCUGUCUGGUGACGUUUUAUAAUGCAAAUUUUGUAGAUGAAAAGGCCAGGUUUUGAAUUGCUGGCCUUGGCCACAUUAAUUGAAUUAUAUCCU